GACGAACGCUGGCGGCGUGCCUAAUACAUGCAAGUAGAACGCACAGUUUAUACCGUAGCUUGCUCCACCAUAGACUGUGAGUUGCGAACGGGUGAGUAACGCGUAGGUAACCUGCCUGGUAGCGGGGGAUAACUAUUGGAAACGAUAGCUAAUACCGCAUAAUAUUAAUUAUUGCAUGAUAAUUAAUUGAAAGGUGCAAUUGCACCACUACCAGAUGGACCUGCGUUGUAUUAGCUAGUAGGUGAGGUAACGGCUCACCUAGGCGACGAUACAUAGCCGACCUGAGAGGGUGAUCGGCCACACUGGGACUGAGACACGGCCCAGACUCCUACGGGAGGCAGCAGUAGGGAAUCUUCGGCAAUGGACGAAAGUCUGACCGCGCAACGCCGCGUGAGGGAAGAAGGUUUUCGGAUCGUAAAGCUCUGCUGUAAGAGAAGAACGGGUGUGAGAGUGGAAAGUUCACACUGUGACGGUAACUUACCAGAAAGGGACGGCUAACUACGUG
This 505-nucleotide ribosomal RNA is filed under the name uncultured bacterium. Its description in RNAcentral is "partial 16S ribosomal RNA". It matches the Rfam family "Bacterial small subunit ribosomal RNA", at positions 28 to 507 of the family's 1533-position model. The record is from RNAcentral.